GGUGCCUUUGCCUAUCAAAAUCUGCUGUAGCCUGAAAAACAGACAUCUUGAUUUGGAUGAAGAAGUUGUAUUGCUUGCCAUAAAGAAUUGUAGAGUUGGAAGAGACCUCAUGGGCCAUUCAGUCCAACCCCCUGCAAGAAGCAGGAAAAUCUCAUUCAAAGCACUCCUGACAGAUGGCCAUCCAGCCUCUGCUUAAAAGCCUCCAAAGAAGGAGCCUCCACCACACUCCGGGGCAGAGAGUUCCACUGCUAAGCAGCUCUCACAGUGAGGAAGUACUUCCUGAUGUUCAGGUGGAAUCUCCUUUCCUGUAGUUUGAAACCAUUGUUCCAUGUCCUAGUCUUCAGGGCAGCAGAAAACAAGCUUGCUCCCUCCUCCCUAUGACUUCCCCUCACAUAUUUAUACAUGGCUAUCAUGUCUCCUCCCAGCCUUCUCUUCUGCAGGCUAAACAUGCCCAGCUCUUUAAGCCGCUCCUCAUAGGGCUUGUUCUCCAGACCCUUAAUCAUUUUGGUCGCCCUCCUCUGGACGCUUUCCAGCUUGUCAACAUCUCCCUUCAACUGCGGUGCCCAGAAUUGGACACAGUAUGACCAAGGCAGAAUAGAGGGGUAGCAUGACUUCCCUGGAUCUAACGGUGGCCAGGAUUCAUUUGUACAUGAACUAAAUACACCAGCUGAAUCCAUUCACAUAGAUGUCUGAUCUGGUAUUACAUCCUAUUUGGAUUACAGUGAAACACUUUUACAUGGCACUACCUUUGGAAAACAUUCAGAAAGUUGAAUGAGUCCAAAAUGCUCCCUUGUUAAAGGAGUUCUGCUGACUGAGGGUCCAUUUCUAAGCAUGAUUCAAAGUGCUGGUUAUUACCUAUACAUUGCUGUGUGGCUUGGGUCUGGACUAUCUGAAAUUCUGAAAGCCUGACUGAAUUUUGGGAUCUAGAUUUUUCCCAAUCCCAUCAUCAUCGCAGCUAUAUUUUAUAGAACUACAUUUUAAUGUGUGUUUGUAGAAUUUUUGCAAUGUUUGUGUGUUUUGACUGCUCUGUGACCUGCCUCAGGCCACAAGGAGAGACAGGUAAGAAAUAAAAUUAUAUUAUUACAGGUGCCAUUGUGAAUAAAUGUUUGAAAGCUUUCUCGGUGGCUGCUCCCAAGCAGUGGCAUACUUUCCCAUGGAAGGCAUGGUUUAUUCAUGGUUCUCUCUCAUCCCAAAUUCAUUCAUUCAUAGUAUGUUUUUAUUGAUUCUUGACCCAUUAGGGCCCCGUCAAACAUGUUCCUAUCUUGAAUGCACACGAGAAGGAAAUAGCUGCAUGAAUUUUGGAAAGCCACAUUUUUGCCCACCCACCAAAUAAAGCCAAAUGUCUGAAAUUUUAAAAGUCACAAGAAAAAGUAUAUUUCAAGAAUGAGUGGAUGUCAGACUUGCAGGAAUGAUUUUUUAAAAAAUUAUCUGAGGCCCCUUCUACACAGCUGAAUAAAAUCCCACAUGAUCUGCUUUGAACUGGAAUAUAUGUCAGUGUGGACUCAGAUAACUCAGUUCAAAGCAGAUAUUGUGGGAUUUUCUGCCUUGAUAUUCUGGGUUACAUGGCUAUGUGGAAGGGCCCCCAGAUUGUGGGAAGAAAGCAGGAUAGUAGUUGGAUGUCCCUAUUCGGUAGAGUAGCAACCGAGGGCAGCUUCAAAACAUAAAUUCUGAGCAAGCUGAAGGUUUGAAGGUAUGAAAUUCACUAUACUCUCACUACUUAGGAACAUUGGCCAGUUUCUGAUAGAAUAGUGUCGUUAGAAGCACUGGGUUUUUUUAGCUGGAAUUCUCAAAGUCAUCAACCAGAACCUGGCAUUUUAUACUACAGUUAAACAAACUUGACACAUGAAAGUAUUUCUCAGAGCCUGUGUUGGUUAGAGUCUAUAGUCUUUAAAAAUUCAAGUUCUGCUUCAUAAGCUUGCUUCAUUUUGGUAGUAUAGUUUAGGAUGAAUAAGGAGUUAUUUUCUGCUUUAAUUCUUAUACAACUGGGAGUCAGAAAUCCCUGCUGAUCUGCUGCAAAUCCCCGAGAGGCCUUUCAGUAGAUUCAACAACAUGAAGUACUUAAACUCAACUGAAUUAGAAAUUUAUUUUUAGUGUAAUAAGAUUGACUUACAUUGCAAUUUCAGCAUUACAUUAACUCCAAAAUUAAGUUAUUAAGUAAUUAAAUCAGUCACAGUGCUAAACAGUCAACAUAUAUUAUAUUUCCCGGGUGGUUCUUUGCACCAAUACUAGCUCUUUUAGAAUUUUUUGAAAAACUUGUUUCUUGCUUUUGGUUAACCUGUACAAGUAGGGGAUUUACAUUUACACACAAGUAGUUUUAGUAGACUGAAUUGUGUUAACAGUUUUUGAUGUUAGCAAUCUCAGUGGUCAAUCUCACCACCUGCACACUGUUUCUAACUACAAUACAGUACAGCUGGCUCUCUGUACCCAUAGAUUCUUCAUCCAUGAAUCCAAACCCAGUAGAUAUCAAGGGUCCAAUGUAGCUGUAUAACUGAAAUCACACAUUACAGAUUUUUAUAUUUAUAAAAUCUGGAAGACUUCUGAAAGUUGUAACACCACUUGCUAUCUAUGCACAUUUCCACACAGCCAUAUAACCCAGAAUAUCAAGGCAAAAAUCCCACAAUAUUUGCUUUGAACUGGGUUAUCAGAGCCCACACUAUCAUAUAUUCCAGUUCAAAGCAGAAAAUGUAGGAUUUUACUCAGCUGUGUCAAAGGGGCCUAUGUAAAGUAAAGAUAAAAAAACAAGCAAAUAAUAAAAUCAUGGACUGCAUUUUUCAGUUUCAGUCUGUUAAGGCUUUUAUUGCAUCCUUUUACAUUAAACUUAAAUGCAUUUAACAUAACAGUUAACUCACCCUUUUAAUAUAAAUUUAAUGAAACUAGGAUUUUUUUCAAGAAUAGACAAUGUGCUAAAUGCAUUCAUCUAGAUAUCUCUGCUACCUCUAUGUUACUGCAAAUAUUUGAAUAUAAAAUGACAUAUGAGAAUUAUUUAUCUAUAUUGUAAACUUGGUUUUAUAGACUAUUGUUAUAUGUAUGUUGACUUGUAUUAUAUUUUAAAAUGUUGUGAGCUGCUUUGGGUCUCAUUUAGGGAGAAAAGCAGGAUAUAAAUAAAGAUUUACUACUACUACUACUAUUAUAGUCCCUUUCACCACAAUUUAGUCUGUCUGCAUUUCUUUCACAAGGCUGCCUGAAAAAAGGAAAAUCACGCAGAACAAACUCUAGAAGAGAAAUAAAGGCUUUAGACAGGAUUCAUCAAACAGCUUCAUUAAAUUGGGUGAAUCUCUGUGGGAAGACUGAGACCACCCUCUGUUUUUGUUGUAAUGUGCCUUGACUAAAGUCAGAAGGUAAUUGAAGCUCUGGGCAAGAAAAAUACUGAGCAUGGAAAUUGUAGUCAAACAAGUCACCAAUUUUGUGCAUCUAUCAAUCUUCCAGCUGGCUGAUUUGUCAGUAUUUUGGAGCUUAAUGUACUUCCUUGAUUGUAAAGGCAGCUCAGUUUUCUCUCAGACAUGGAAUGAAGGAACCUAAUGACAUGGCUAUGAUUUUUGCUAUGAUUAAGUAGGAUCUAAUUCUGGUCAGUGCUCAAAUAGAAAUCCGUAUGACAUCACCACGUGUAUGAUCUCGAUUUGCUCCUGUCCCCCUCCCCCUGACCUUUUUCCAUGACAUUUCUACACUGCCAGAGGAGCCUAAUUUUAAGGACUUUUUGGGGGUGGCUCUUGCUUUUCUGGGCUCAUGGAGCCCAAAAAACUGAGAGCGCUGUGGGGACUGACUCCUGGGUAAUCCUAGGACUACCUGGAAGAAUUCCCACAGGCCCCAUACCCCAUUAGCCCCUGGCUUUUCAGGAACUGGGUAUUUAAUUAAUUUGGGACAAAGCAGAGAUGCCUCAGAUAAAAGCCCAACACGCCCUGCAUUUUGGGACCUGUCUGGAUGGGCCCACAGUCUCUUCAGUCAGGAUCCUCAAUACUGUUAGAUCCCAGCCAGCCAGGGCACCAAGGCCUGCAGCAUUUCAGGACUUGCACUUUGACACAGAUAAUGCUUAUACUGACAUUUCACCCUCCACGGAGGGGCCUUUGCAGCUGCAGGUGCCCGAAGAUAUUGGCUCUGGAGACUCACUAAUUGGGGAAGAUUCUUCAUUUCCUCCCUCGCAGAUAGAGCCAGAUGUGGCUGAAUCAGCUGGGAACGGGGUUUUUAAUCGUAGAGAUUUUGUAACCAGGGACAGAAGUGCAAAACAAGGGGUUCGCCGGAGCCAGAGACUGGCAAAUAGAUGGGAUAAUGGUUAGUGUUCUCAUGGGAAAGUUUUGGGAGUUUUUACUCCCUAAAUUCUGAACAGUCCAGAAUCUGUUAAAAGUGUUUUGCUCAGUAGAUUUUCUUGCGGUGUCAACGUUGCUUUCUUGGAGAGAGGUUUCUCCGUCUCCAGUUCCUGUUUCCAAGCCAAAUUUUCCAGUUCCAAUCGGGCCGUGCUGUGCUGCGACUCUCGAGUAGACCUUGACUUUACUUCAGUUGUUUCUUGUUCUUAAUUCAAGUUUGCCUCAGCUUGGACAACCUUGCUGCCUUGAUUGCUACGAAGUAUUUCCAGUGGAUUGAACUCUGUUUUCUGCCAGCCUUGUUUCUCUGUUUCAACUCAUGGACACUUUGAUUUCCUCGGAGAGCUAUCGAGUUCUCAUUGUGGAUUAUAAUAUCGGACCUUUUCAGUCAACCAUUUGGAACCACCAUAAACUUUCUAAAAAGAACUAUUCCUUACUCAGACUCUAUACCAAAUUUCCUUUGGAUAUAUAAUUGCUUUAAUAAAGAUAUAGUGUGUUA
This is a long non-coding RNA of Anolis carolinensis (green anole), 4794 nucleotides long. RefSeq lists it as uncharacterized. Lineage: Eukaryota; Metazoa; Chordata; Lepidosauria; Squamata; Anolidae. The transcript is spliced from 2 exons. The record is from RefSeq and is a predicted model, not a curated record.